ACUCCUACGGGAGGCAGCAGUGGGGAAUCUUGCACAAUGGGGGCAACCCUGAUGCAGCGACGCCGCGUGAGCGAUGAAGCCCUUCGGGGUGUAAAGCUCUUUCGGCAGGGAAGAAUCAUGACGGUACCUGCAGAAGCAGCUGCGGCUAACUACGUGCCAGCAGCCGCGGUAAUACGUAGGCAGCGAGCGUUGUUCGGAGUUACUGGGCGUAAAGGGUGUGUAGGCGGUCCUCUAAGUUUGGUGUGAAAUCUCCCGGCUCAACCGGGAGGGUGCGCCGAAAACUGGGGGACUAGAGUGCGGGAUGGGAAAGUGGAAUUCCUGGUGUAGCGGUGAAAUGCGUAGAUAUCAGGAGGAACACCGGUGGUGUAGACGGCUUUCUGGACCGUAACUGACGCUGAGACACGAAAGCGUGGGUAGCAAACAGGAUUAGAUACCCUGGUAGUCCACGCCCUAAACGAUGCAUAUUUGGUGUAGGUCAUUCAGUUGAUCUGUGCCGGAGCUAACGCGUUAAAUAUGCCGCCUGGGGAGUACAGUCGCAAGGCUGUAACUCAAAGGAAUUGACGGGGGCCCGCACAAGCGGUGGAGCAUGUGGUUCAAUUCGACGCGACGCGAAGAACCUUACCUGGGCUCGAACGGCUUCCCAACGCCGGUGGAAACAUCGGUAUCCCGCAAGGGAGUGGAGUCGAGGUGCUGCAUGGCUGUCGUCAGCUCGUGUCGUGAGAUGUUGGGUUAAGUCCCGCAACGAGCGCAACCCUUGUCCUGUGUUGCUAUCUCGCAAGAGAGCACUCGCAGGAGACCGCCAGCGAUAAGCUGGAGGAAGGUGGGGAUGACGUCAAGUCCUCAUGGCCUUUAUGUCCAGGGCUACACACGUGCUACAAUGGCCGGUACAAAGCGUUCCCAAGCCGCGAGGUGGAGGCAACCGCAAAAAACCGGUCUCAGUUCGGAUUGCAGGCUGCAACUCGCCUGCAUGAAGUUGGAAUCGCUAGUAA
RNAcentral lists this ribosomal RNA (989 nucleotides) under uncultured bacterium. RNAcentral's name for it is "bacterial SSU rRNA". It matches the Rfam family "Bacterial small subunit ribosomal RNA", at positions 335 to 1341 of the family's 1533-position model. The record is from RNAcentral.